Long non-coding RNA from Malus domestica (apple), 244 nucleotides. RefSeq lists it as uncharacterized. The record is from RefSeq and is a predicted model, not a curated record. NCBI's taxonomy places the organism in Eukaryota, Viridiplantae, Streptophyta, Magnoliopsida, Rosales, Rosaceae.
CGUCAGCUGCAUCCUGGUCGCCCUCAUCUGCAUCCUGCUCCUCAUCUGUUCCUCUCGUCGUCCGCUCCCUCGUCUUCACGUAACAGAUCUGCUCCGAGAGUUCUCCAAGGACAGCAUUCGCCUCGUCAAGCGCUGCCACAAGCCCGAUCGCAAAGAAUUCUCCAAGGUCGCGCUCCGGACAGCGAUCGGGUUCGUCGUGAUGGGUUUCGUCGGGUUCUUCGUCAAGCUGAUCUUCAUCCCCAUC